RNAcentral lists this long non-coding RNA (314 nucleotides) under Elaeis guineensis (African oil palm). RNAcentral's name for it is "long non-coding RNA (EGUI_LNC022549)". The record is from RNAcentral. Lineage: Eukaryota; Viridiplantae; Streptophyta; Magnoliopsida; Arecales; Arecaceae.
GCUUGUUUUUUUCCUCCUCUUUUUUGAAUAUCUACGGGGAAGGAGAGCACGUAAGUAAGACCGGAUGGGUUUCUUCGAUUCCACUUGGGUUUUUUUCUCAAGCAUAUCGGUUUUGCGCGUGUUGUGGUGGUGUGAGUUAGUCCCUUGAGGUUUUGAGAGUUUAAUCUUAGUGGAAGCAUGAUAUUUUAUAGGAUUUGGGGAUGAGAUGGUGGGUGGUAAAAAUAAAGAAAGGAGAAGGUCGUGACGAAUAAAAGGAUGAAGAAAGAUUUGAAGCUCGGGCAAAAUGAGAGGCCACCCAUCUUUAGAGCGUGACC